GAUGAACGCUAGCGAUAGGCUUAACACAUGCGAGUCGAGGGGCAGCACAAGGUAGCUUGCUAUCUGGGUGGCGACCGGCGCACGGGUGCGUAACGCGUAUGCAACUUGCCCUAUACAGGAGGAUAACCCGUCGAAAGACGGACUAAUACUGCGUAUGCUCACAACUUGGCAUCAAGUGGUGAGGAAAGAAAUUCGGUAUAGGAUAGGCAUGCGUCCCAUUAGCUUGUUGGUGAGGUAACGGCUCACCAAGGCAACGAUGGGUAGGGGAACUGAGAGGUUUAUCCCCCACACUGGUACUGAGACACGGACCAGACUCCUACGGGCGGCAGCAGUGAGGAAUAUUGGUCAAUGGGCGCGAGCCUGAACCAGCCAAGUCGCGUGAAGGAUGACUGUCUUAUGGAUUGUAAACUUCUUUUAUACGGGAAUAACAAGAGUCACGUGUGACUCCCUGCAUGUACCGUAUGAAUAAGCAUCGGCUAACUCCGUG
This 487-nucleotide ribosomal RNA is filed under the name uncultured bacterium. RNAcentral's name for it is "partial 16S ribosomal RNA". It matches the Rfam family "Bacterial small subunit ribosomal RNA", at positions 28 to 507 of the family's 1533-position model. The record is from RNAcentral.